AAACUAUUUCCUUGGUAGCUGCAUGUUUGCCACAUCUUACUAAAUUGGUGUCAAUCUCAAGCGAAGAACAAUGUGUUGUGGCAUCACAAGAAAUUAAAACCCAAAUAGGCUCGAAGUUUAUUAAAUACUGACUUGAAACAACCAAACAAACAGAAAACACUCUGUGGUGACUCAUGGAAAAACUCUGCAUCAUAGUCACCAGCUGGCAAACAGGAAUCAAGACAACAUUGUGCCUGAUGCUGCCCAUCCCCUGGAUCUCGUGUAGCUGCUACUGACAGAAACAACAAUAAAGACCAUAGUUCUCCUCUCAAUUUUCAGUGAGCUAAAGAAAACAACAAUAGCAAUGGACGUAAAUAUGGUCUGUUCAACAUUUGAUCCCAUUCCUCUUUUCACUAAGCACAGCUCCCCAUUGCUGCCACCCAGAGAGGAGCAGAGUCGCUCUGAAAUCCAUCAGCUGGGACCUGAACCAAAGGUUACACUCUGAACAACAAAGUCAAGCACACCAUGCAGAGGGCUGAUACGAUAGACCCUAACAAAAAGACUUCACACCAGGCUAACACUAAUAGGAAACUGCUGAAUAUUCAUUAAGCCCCUCUGAACCAGCAAUAUUUUAGUUAUCGUGAGAUCAA
This 629-nucleotide long non-coding RNA is filed under the name Manacus vitellinus (golden-collared manakin). Its description in RNAcentral is "lncRNA (ENSMVIG00005003791.1)". The record is from RNAcentral. Lineage: Eukaryota; Metazoa; Chordata; Aves; Passeriformes; Pipridae.